RNAcentral lists this ribosomal RNA (253 nucleotides) under uncultured bacterium. Its description in RNAcentral is "partial 16S ribosomal RNA". It matches the Rfam family "Bacterial small subunit ribosomal RNA", at positions 524 to 776 of the family's 1533-position model. The record is from RNAcentral.
UACGUAGGGUCCAAGCGUUAAUCGGAAUUACUGGGCGUAAAGCGUGCGCAGGCGGUUGUGCAAGACCGAUGUGAAAUCCCCGAGCUUAACUUGGGAAUUGCAUUGGUGACUGCAUGGCUAGAGUGUGUCAGAGGGGGGUAGAAUUCCACGUGUAGCAGUGAAAUGCGUAGAGAUGUGGAGGAAUACCGAUGGCGAAGGCAGCCCCCUGGGAUAACACUGACGCUCAUGCACGAAAGCGUGGGGAGCAAACGGG